Molecule: long non-coding RNA, 3064 nt
Filed under: Cinara cedri
Lineage: Eukaryota; Metazoa; Arthropoda; Insecta; Hemiptera; Aphididae
Source: RNAcentral
GCCGUCGCCGUCGUUUGGUGUACGCGCGACGCGAACCGCCACGUGUUAUCUCCGCGUACCGACUCGAAGAGAUUAAAACGUUUACGAUUUUAUGAUAUCGGCGGGUCGCGCUCGCAACGAAAACUGCAAAGGGCGUUUUUCCAGGAGCCGGUCGCCUUUCGGUUUUCUCCGUGAUUUAGGGGCGGCCGUGCGCUGUGCAAUGUGAAAAUAUAAUUAUAAAUAUUAGUAUUUGAGAACGCCACUGUCGUUUACUAUACUAAUUCAGUAAAAACCAAGAGCGGGCACGUGCCACGUGAACGCGGUGAAAGUCAAUCGGACAGGUUGGUUUAGGUGGCUCAGCCAGAGCGCGUAAUUGACACUACAGCCAAUGAUAAUGCCAUAUCAGUAGCCACCCCCAAUCGGCUCAAAAAAAAUAUCUAAAAUACUUUCUGGAGCUUAUGUCACGUUUUGGCGGAAAUGAGUCGUACAAAAUUUUCUGGCGGUAAAAUACGGACGUAUAUCGACAAUAGUUGUUGUGAGAUAAAGGAGGACCGUCAACGUUGUUCGAAAAAUUCCUAUUGCAAUAUCAAAGUAUCAAAAAGACCCGAAAAUGUGUUUUAUCCGUAUAAUUUCCCGAAAUUGAUUAGAACCGUGAUCGGCGCUUUUCGGCCCGAACAAUGCACGAUACGAAUUGGAAGAGCGCAAGAAAUAGGCGAAACUAUAUUGGGAUACGGCGGGAAAAUUGGCGGGCGGGUACAAUACGGGCAGACUAAACGCGUUGAUCAUGCGGAUCAUUUUGGGUUCGUUCCAGCCGGUGCCUCCUGCAGUCGUAACACCCGACCGGAUUGUUACCUUUUGAACGGUACGAAAAACGCGGUUUACGUAAUAUUUCCUUUAUACAAACACACCGUGGUAAUAUUAUGUACCGUACGAGCGGUUUGUCUUUAAAGUUUUCGGCGAGGGGAGGAGAACACGACUAGGUAUCGAUUAAAGUCAAGCAAUAAUACACGUGUAGCGGCGGCGACGGUGGUGACUGCAGUUUUUGUUGUUCACCCUCUCUAAUACAGUGAAAUACGCGUAAACGUAUUUAUGCAGGUAAAGGUAUAUAUAAAAAAAAAAAAAAAAAAGUAAGUCUAUAUAGGUAUAUACGUGUGCCAUUUGUUUGGCUUCAGCAACCAUCGGAAAAUCACCCUAAUUUUUUUUUUUUUUUUUGCUUCCAUAUCGAUUUAUAUACUCGUUCCCCUAAACAAUAUGUCAUAGAUAUACAUUAUGUUAUGUAUUAUACGAUGACGGUGGUGAACUGUGCAGUGUUUUUGUAGUUGUGUGUGUGUGUAGUAUAAUAGCGGUAUGGCUGUGGCAGCGGUAUGGUUGUUGUUUGCCAUAUUUUCGUGGUUAUUUUUCGAUAAUGUGCCAACGCUGCCGGUAACUACCUUGGCGCGCGCACCUUUCACUAAAACCAUUAGUUAUUACGAAGCUCACGAACCCUGCGCCAGACCCCGGGGUCGUAAUAUUCAUCCCCUCGACCACCCUAUAUAUAUAUAUAUUAAUGACAGUAUCGUGGGCAGGCAUUAUAUUGUUCUAUAAGUUCCGUGCGUUGACUUUAGGGUGCGCUAAAAAACAAUAUACAUUUUCGUAUGGGUCGCGAUGUAAAACUGCAGGUAUAGGGCGCGUUCGUAUAGGUAAUUCGCAUCGAACAAAAAAAAAAAUAAAAUAAUAAUAACAAAAUAAAAUAAAAAUGAAACACGUCAUAAUAUUAUUGUAGCCAAUCGAAAAUAAACCCGGUACAGUAAAUUAACAUAUUAUAAAUACGACUAGACAUUUAAUACCAAUAAUAGUUUUACAUAAUUUUUUUUUUCAAUAUAGAUUAUUUUUUAAAACCCGUAUGGUAUUUGUCCGCGCUAAGACUGCGAAAUGAUUUUCGGUUUGGGUAUAAUAUUUCAACGGUUAAAGUCGGACAAUAGUUACGUAUAGGUAUAAAUAAUAGUGUUACGUGUACAGUUGUUCCCGGUCUAUCUACGGAUAUUCUCGCGAUAUACCUGUGUGUGACGAGGGUGGUGUAUUUUUUUUCGGUUUUAAAUCUAAAAUCUCGUAUGGGCUUUCAUAAUUUCUGUACUACUACCCGAUGCAGCCAUAUAGUGAUGGUCGCACCCCGAUUAUGCAUCAUUCCACCUAUCUACCUACACUUACACAUUGUUCACACGAAACAUAAAUCCGGAUUAGGUUACACUCGGGAUUAUAAUACGUACGAGUACAUACUGCGGGUGCGUGAUCUGUUGUGACGACGCCCGCGUUUAUCUCUAAGAUAAAUAAUCUGAUAAAGGCACAAUUGCAAGCAUAUAUAUAUAUAAUAUUAAUUUUUUUUUUAGUUUCCAUAGCAGAACGAGUAAUCGUAUAUAAUUAUUUCGAUAAAGAGUGGUGCGGAAUACAAUAAGUUUUAAUCGGAAAAAAAAAUAAUUUCAACAACAAUAUUUGAUCGUAAAACAAAAUAUACAUUUUUUUUCUUUUCGUUCAUUGCACUAUUGUAUUUUAUCCAGAUAUCCAGAUAGUUGUCAAUGAGUUGUCUGAGUAUAAAUAACCGAAUCAUCUAUACAGAUGUAUCUUUUUGAACCAUAACUAUUAUAUUGCUUAGAAAUAAAAAGUAAACCGUUCACUGUUGGUUUGAAUAUGGUUUUGGUUUAAUAAAUAAAUUAUCGAGUUACAUCAAUCGCACGACCUUUUUAAAAUCUACGUGUAGACUUGCAGACACCGAAUUCGGUACACUUUCAACACUUUUAGUGGGUAUAUUUAGUUGUACGACGAUAGAAAUUGAACACAAUAAUCGUAUUUUCCUUUUGUUUUGAUAAAAAGUUGCUUGUUAUUUAUCAUUAUCUAGUUCAUUAUUCUAGACGUUAUCUCUUAUCUUUAUCUGGAUAUUUGUAUAUGUAUGUAAAACACUGUUCAUUACGCAGGUAAGUACGUAUCGGUAAACGAUUCGAAGCCCGAAAUUCGGAAUUCACCGUCUGGCCGUAAACGGGAAACACGAAUACAUUAUUUGUUCACAUAUAUUUAUACAGUAGUACAGACAAAAUAGGAAAAUAUAUCGCCG